UUUUUUCUUGCUCAAGAAGUCGGGAAAUCUCGUCAGGAAUCCCUUCAACAUCAUCUUCUUCCGCUUCGAAUACAGGGAAUUCAAAAUUGGGAGAUGACGUCUGAUCAUUAUGUUCAAAGGGUUUAAGAAACAACCUGCAUAAUGAUUUAGAGAUGAAAAGCUUUUUGAAAAACAAACAAGACAAUCGUUAUGCAGAUGAAAAGAUUGCUUUUAU
RNAcentral lists this long non-coding RNA (214 nucleotides) under Lathyrus oleraceus (garden pea). Its description in RNAcentral is "Pisum sativum (pea) long non-coding RNA (PSAT_LNC012422)". Lineage: Eukaryota; Viridiplantae; Streptophyta; Magnoliopsida; Fabales; Fabaceae. The record is from RNAcentral.